CCCCCCAAUCUUCCCUAUUCCUACAAGGAAACAUCCCCCUCCCCCCUUCCCCCCCCAUUUGUGUGUGAGCAUGCGGGCAGGCGAUACUCUUUGUUUCAACCUGACCUCUACCUCAUGGUGACCCCCUCUUGGUUGGGGGGGGGGAAGAGGACGGGAUGGGGGGGAAGAAGGAGGAGAGGGUGAGGGGAGACUUCUGCAGAUACAGCCUUUAUACAUCAAGAGGUUGCCUAUAGGAGGAAGCCGAUGGCUGCAGCAUCCAGCGCAUUAUUACCUUGCGAUGCCGUGACCCUCCUCCAUGCAUCCCUAACUCUUUAAAGCUGAUUCAGCUAGCGCUCUGGAGGCUCCCCUGCUGCAACAGAAUCUCCUCACUGUUUGUCAGGUAAACCACAACCGGCCUCAGCUGCUACAGAGUUCAACUGGGUGGCUUUUUCUUAACACUGAAAGAAAUAAAGAAAGUGAAGACAUUCUCUUUCUGGGGCUCUUUGGGAGGCAGAAGAAAUCCUGGACUUACUAGUUCCCAGAAUGAUUUACCCCAGAGAAGAUGCCUGGUUAUCUUCUUGAAGCAUUCAUGCCUCCACCAUGUGGACCAGUGUGAGAGCACCUCAUGUGCAACUUCUUUUUUUUUUUUGUAAAUUUAUUUAUUUAUUUUUGGUUUUCAAC
Molecule: long non-coding RNA, 660 nt
Organism: Phascolarctos cinereus (koala)
Lineage: Eukaryota; Metazoa; Chordata; Mammalia; Diprotodontia; Phascolarctidae
Source: RefSeq, a predicted model, not a curated record